Molecule: ribosomal RNA, 165 nt
Filed under: Phacidiaceae sp.
Lineage: Eukaryota; Fungi; Ascomycota; Leotiomycetes; Phacidiales; Phacidiaceae
Description: partial large subunit ribosomal RNA
Rfam family: Eukaryotic large subunit ribosomal RNA
Source: RNAcentral
CGGCAACAGCUCAAAUUUGAAAUCUGGCUCUUUCAGGGUCCGAGUUGUAAUUUGUAGAAGAUGCUUCGGGUGUGGCUCCGGUCUAAGUUCCUUGGAACAGAACGUCAUAGAGGGUGAGAAUCCCGUCUAGAACCGAUAGCCACGUUCAUGUGAAACUCCUUCGAC